This 2942-nucleotide ribosomal RNA is filed under the name Pyrinomonadaceae bacterium. RNAcentral describes it as "23S ribosomal RNA". It matches the Rfam family "Bacterial large subunit ribosomal RNA". The record is from RNAcentral. Lineage: Bacteria; Pseudomonadati; Acidobacteriota; Blastocatellia; Blastocatellales; Pyrinomonadaceae.
AUGUGGCCAAGCUACAAAGGGCGCAUGGGGGAUGUCUUGGCAUCAGGAGGCGACGAAGGGCGUGGAAGUCUGCGAAAAGCUCGGGGGAGUCGACAAACAGAUAUUGAUCCCGAGAUACCCGAAUUAGCGUACGAUGAAUUCAUAGUCGUACGUGGCUAACCCAGAGAACUGAAACAUCUCAGUACCUGGUGGAAGAGAAAGAAAAAUCGAUUUCGUCAGUAGCGGCGAGCGAAAGCGAAAUAGCCCAAACCGCGGGGGUUUCCCCUGCGGGGUUGUAGGGCCCUUCACAUGAGAGUCACAAAAUUGCCGACUAGCAGAAUGGCUUGGAAAGGCCAACCACAGAGGGUGACAGUCCCGUAAGCGAAAGACGAGCAAUCUCUCGAGGGGUACCUGAGUAGGUCGGGCCACGUGGAAUCCCGACUGAAUCUACGGGGACCAUCCCGUAAGGCUAAAUACUCCCUGAUGACCGAUAGUGAACUCAGUAUGGCGACUGAAAGAUGAGAAGAACCCCUGCUAGGGGAGGAAUGUGAACCUGAAACCAUGCGCUUACAAGCGGUCGGAGCACUAUGCCCCGUAAGGGGAAUGUGUGACGGCGUGCCUUUUGCAUAAUGAUCCGGCGAGUUACCGUCAGCGGCUUGGUUAAGGCCUUACGGGCCGAAGCCUCAGGGAAACCGAGUCUGAAUAGGGCGACUAUUGGUCGCUGGCGGUAGACGCGAAACCACGUGAUCUACCCAUGAGCAGGUUGAAGCGCAGGUUAUACUGCGUGGAGGACCGAACCCACUUGGGUUGAAAACCGAGGGGAUGACUUGUGGGGAGGACUGAAAGUGUAAUCAAACGUGGAGAUAUCUCGUUCUCUCCGAAAUAGCUUUAGGGCUAGCCUUGAGCCACUACGCAGUGGGGGUAGAGAUACUGAUUUGGUUUGGGGCCCUUCCCAGGGUACCCUGCUGAGCCAAACUCCGAAUACCAUUGCGACUAUCUCAGGAGUCAGUCCGCGAGGGAUAAGCUUCGCGGUCGAGAGGGAAACAACCCAGACUACCUGCUAAGGCCCCGAAGUCAUGCUCAGUCACUAAGGAAGUUGAAUUGCCGUGACAACCAGGAUGUUGGCUUAGAAGCAGCCACCAUUUAAAAAGUGCGUAACAGCUUACUGGUCAAGCAAUUCUGCGCCGAUAAUGAACGGGAGUAAGCAUGACGCCGAAGCAGUAGAUACAGUGAUUCUUCGGAUGAUCUGUGUGGUAGGAGAGCGCUGUACGUCAGAUACAAGCCAUACCGUAAGGAGUGGUGUCGGGGCGUACAGGUGAUUAUGCCGGAAUGAGUAACGAUAAGGCAGGUGAGAAUCCUGCCCGCCGAAAGCCUAAGGUUUCCUGGGGAAGGUAAAUCCGCCCAGGGUUAGCCGGUGCCUUAGUCGAGGCCGAAAGGCGUAGACGAUGGACAGCAGGUCAACAUUCCUGCGCCAGCUAUGUGGACCGAUGGAGGGACAACGCCCGAAAGGUGAGCGGUACGAGUAGAAAUGUCCGUCACUUCACGCAAGGCGACCGGUAGGUAAAUCCGCCGGUCAUCAACCAAGUGUGCGGUGCGAGCGCGUUUAUGUUCGCGAAGUCAUCGGAAGGGCGUUCAAGAAAAGCUCCUAAGGGUUGAAGCAUAACUGACCGUACUAAAACUGACACAGGUAGGCGAGACGAGUAGUCUAAGGCGCUCGGGAGAAUAGUGCUUAAGGAACUCUGCAAAAUGGCCCCGUAAGUUCGCGAUAAGGGGUGCCCUCGGCGGUGCAAGCUGCUGGGGGCCACAGUAAAUCGAUUCCUCCAACUGUUUAUCAAAAACACAGGUCUCUGCUAACUCGCAAGAGGAUGUAUAGAGACUGACGCCUGCCCGGUGUCGGUAGGUUAAGGGAGCAGGUUAGCAAUGUUUACAUUGCGAAGCUCGCGACCGAAGCCCCGAUAAACGGCGGCCGUAACUAUGACGGUCCUAAGGUAGCGAAGUUCCUUGUCGGGUAAGUUCCGACGUGCAUGAAAGGCGUAAUGAGAGGAAGACUGUCUCAAGCACUAACCCGGUGAAAUUGUAGUCGUGGUGAAGAUGCCACGUUCCCGCAGCUAGACGGAAAGACCCCGUGAACCUUGACUGUAGGCUGAUAUUGGGCUCGUGUAUUGACUGUGUAGGAUAGGUGGGAGGCUAUGAACCCUGGGCGCAAGCUUGGGGGGAGCCAUUGGUGAAAUACCACCCUUUUAAUGCAUAAGUUCUAACGCUGAUUCCUGUGAAUCCAGGCAGCGGACAGUGUCAGUUGGGCAGUUUGACUGGGGCGGUCUCCUCCUAAAGAGUAACGGAGGAGCCCAAUAGGCGACCUCAGCCUGGUUGGCAAUCAGGCAUCGAGCGUAAAGGUAUAAGGUUGCUAAACUGCGAGACCCAUGAGUCGAGCAGAUGUGAAAGCAGGGCUUAGUGAUCCGGUAGUCCCGUAUGGAAGGGCUAUCGCUCAACAGAUAAAAGGUACUCCGGGGAUAACAGGCUUAUCGCUCCCGAGCGUCCAUAGCGGCGGAGCGGUUUGGCACCUCGAUGUCGGCUCAUCACAUCCUGGGGGUGGAGAAGCUCCCAAGGGUUUGGCUGUUCGCCAAUGAAAGUGGUACGUGAGCUGGGUUCAGACCGUCGUGAGACAGGUCGGUCCCUAUCUACUGUGGGCGCACGAAACUUGAGGAGGUUCUUCUUUAGUACGAGAGGAUUUAGAAGGACGACCCUCUGGUGUUCCAGUUGUCGCGCUAGCGGCACGGCUGGGUAGCUAAGGUCGGAACGGAUAAACGCUGAAGGCAUCUAAGCGUGAAGCCCGCUCCAAGAUUAGGUUUCGUAGGGUAAUACCCGAAAGUCCCCUGGAAGACGACCAGGUAACAUAGGCCGGAUGUGUAAGUGCAGUAAUGCAUUCAGCUAACCGGUACUAACGGACGAACGCUUGGCCACAU